This 464-nucleotide ribosomal RNA is filed under the name uncultured Schwartzia sp. RNAcentral's name for it is "bacterial SSU rRNA". It matches the Rfam family "Bacterial small subunit ribosomal RNA", at positions 338 to 795 of the family's 1533-position model. Lineage: Bacteria; Bacillati; Bacillota; Negativicutes; Selenomonadales; Selenomonadaceae. The record is from RNAcentral.
CCUACGGGCGGCAGCAGUGGGGAAUCUUCCGCAAUGGGCGCAAGCCUGACGGAGCAACGCCGCGUGAGUGAAGAAGGUCUUCGGAUCGUAAAGCUCUGUUGUCGGGGACGAAAGGAAAGGGGAGGCAAUGCCCUUUUUAAGACGGUACCCGACGAGGAAGCCACGGCUAACUACGUGCCAGCAGCCGCGGUAAUACGUAGGCGGCAAGCGUUGUCCGGAAUUAUUGGGCGUAAAGGGAGCGCAGGUGGGACGGUAAGUCUGUCUUAAAAGGCAAGGGCUCAGCCCCUGUAAGGGACAGAAACUAUCGUUCUUGAGUGCCGGAGAGGAAAGCGGAAUUCCCAGUGUAGCGGUGAAAUGCGUAGAUAUUGGGAAGAACACCAGUGGCGAAGGCGGCUUUCUGGACGGCAACUGACACUGAGGCUCGAAAGCCAGGGUAGCGAACGGGAUUAGAUACCCGGGUAGUC